UACCUGAUUGAUUCUGUCAGCGCGAUAUGCUCAAGUAAAAGAUUAAGCCAUGCAUGCUUUGAUUCAUAAAUGAAAUUGCGUACGGCUCAUUAGAGCAGAUAUCACCUUUCUCGGAAUCCUGAAAAGGAUAACUGCGGAAAUUCUGGAGCUAAUACAUGCGACUAUACUCCAACGCAAGGCGGGGUGCAAUUAUUAGAACAGACCAAACGUUUUCGGACGUUGUUUGUUGACUCUGAAUACCGUCGUUUACUGUCAGUUUCGACUGACUCUAUCCGAGAAGGGUGUCUGCCCUUUCAACUAGAUGGUAA
RNAcentral lists this non-coding RNA (308 nucleotides) under Caenorhabditis japonica. RNAcentral describes it as "Eukaryotic small subunit ribosomal RNA". It matches the Rfam family "Eukaryotic small subunit ribosomal RNA", at positions 1 to 331 of the family's 1831-position model. Lineage: Eukaryota; Metazoa; Nematoda; Chromadorea; Rhabditida; Rhabditidae. The record is from Rfam by way of RNAcentral.